CCCUUAGAUGUUCUGGGCCGCACACGCGCUACACUGAAGGAGGCAGCGUGUACUCCUGGAUCGAAAGAUUUGGGUAACCCGCGAAUCUCCUUCGUGCUAGGGAUUGAGGUUUGCAAUUAUCCUUCAUGAACGAGGAAUUCCCAGUAAGUGCAAGUCAUAAGCCUGCGCUGACUACGUCCCUGCCCUUUGUACACACCGCCCGUCGCUACUACCGAUUGAAUGAUUUAGUGAGGACUUCGGACUGGGACCGAUGCGGCUUUCGGGCUGCGUCGGUAUUCUGGAAAGAUGUCCAAACUGUAUCAUUUAGAGGAAGUAAAANUCGUANCA
Molecule: ribosomal RNA, 327 nt
Filed under: uncultured eukaryote
Lineage: Eukaryota
Description: partial 18S ribosomal RNA
Rfam family: Eukaryotic small subunit ribosomal RNA
Source: RNAcentral